UAAACUUUAGUUUAUAAAGAAUAGCUGGUUGUUAGUUAGCAGGAAGGUUGAAUUGCCUAAGUUUAG
RNAcentral lists this transfer RNA (66 nucleotides) under Mactra alta. Its description in RNAcentral is "tRNA-Asn". The record is from RNAcentral. Lineage: Eukaryota; Metazoa; Mollusca; Bivalvia; Venerida; Mactridae.